ACUGGCACAUGCCGUGCACGUGCAAUCGUUUAGAUUUCUGGGAAGUCGUCCUUGGCUUGAAGACAUCAGAUCUGAAGUGUGGUGAUUUUCUGAGCUACCAGUUGACGAUCCAUCUCCCAUCACUUGUUUAUGUGAGCACCAAGCAGAAGCGUUAACGGAGAAGGGUCAAGGACGUACAAGAGAUGGAAAAUGAUCUUCAUGGAGAAACAGAUAUGGGAAGCAUGAAACUGCAUCACUAGUGACAGGCGAUCAGCUAGUGUAUCAAUAGCACAUUGAAUUAUCUAUCAUACUAAUCAUUGCGUUGAAUUCACUUAAACUGUAGCCUAAGAAAGACAGCGUUUAGCAUAUGUACUGAAAAAGCCAUUCAGCAUUUUGGACUGCACAGAGAUGGGUACCUGAUCUCUAGAGUGCACAAUUUGAGCCUAAAAAUA
Molecule: long non-coding RNA, 431 nt
Organism: Rosa chinensis
Lineage: Eukaryota; Viridiplantae; Streptophyta; Magnoliopsida; Rosales; Rosaceae
Exons: 3
Source: RefSeq, a predicted model, not a curated record